Non-coding RNA from Aspergillus coremiiformis, 108 nucleotides. The record is from the annotation of a GenBank genome assembly. Lineage: Eukaryota; Fungi; Ascomycota; Eurotiomycetes; Eurotiales; Aspergillaceae.
GUCAGUGUGGCCGAGUGGUUAAGGCGACAGACUAGAACGUACCACAAAUCGUGGUUCUUCAUAAAUCUGUUGGGUUCGCCCGCACAGGUUCAAAUCCUGUCGCUGACG